Molecule: long non-coding RNA, 3045 nt
Organism: Oreochromis aureus
Lineage: Eukaryota; Metazoa; Chordata; Actinopteri; Cichliformes; Cichlidae
Source: Ensembl
GUGGAGUGUGUGAUAUUCCAUUCUUAAAACUGUGAUCGACAUACAUCUUUAACAGCUGCCUGCUCAGACAAAGGACCCUGCACAAGUUGAUAAAUUUGAGUAGGAGCAUUUUUUUUUUUCUUCUUUCUUAUGGAUGGACUUUGAUGGUAUUGUAGUUUGGACUUCUGGUUUAAUAGCCGGUAUAGACAUGUUCAUUUGCAUGUGUAGAUGUGUAUAUGCAUCCUUUCUUCCUCCUUGAAUGAAAUGUUUUCUCAAAAAAAAACAAAAAAAAAACAACCAUAUUUAGACCUGCUGUCGGUGAUGUAUGCGGAUAAAUGGAAAUAUGAAAUGCCUUAUAUUUGUUUUCAAUGUUAAGCAUUAAGGGUUCUUACAUGUCCCUCCCUUUUCAGCGUGUAGCCUAAAGCUUGUACAGUUAAGAAACUCAUGAGAUUUAUAUCUACUGUAUAGCCUGUGUGUUUUCAGAAUUUGUUACUUGGAGGUCCUGUGAUUGUGGUUUUAGAGAAACAUUCCCCUUGAAAGUGCCGUUUGUUUUCACCAGCAAAAGAUGUGUCUUUGGGGGGAAACCUUUAUUUACACGAAGGAAAACAAAUGUUCAAAACACUUUCCAGUGUUUACUGUCGAACUGAAUGACACAACGCAUUCGUGCAGUUGAACCAAGGCAGCAAUCUUCUGAUGGAGCACCUUAUCGACAUGCUCCUUCUGUGAGCCCACAAUAGAAGUAGUCUCUCACCAAGCUUGAUUACUCUAAAGCAGAGCCAUAUCAAAGAAUUUGCCCAUUAGGAGCCCCCUUGAAUGUGCUAUUAGGAAUAGCCUACUGUAGGAAAGGAUGUAUACUGCAUGUUCUUUGACAUUUUAGUAGUGGUUGUCCCUCUUUUUCUCUUUUUGUUUCUCCGUGUUUUUAUGUUUAGUCUGCUUCACUGUAGAUGUUGCCACCUCAUUGCAACUCACGAGCUAUUAACAAUCCUCUCACAACUGGACUUAAAGCAGGCGUUGAUCUGCUGCUGAGGCAGCCUUAAGUCAUUGCGAGUUUUAAAAAGGAAACGCUAGUUCAAUGGGUUGCCUGUUUUGUGUUAUUUUAUUUUGAGUGGCUUAUUAUGGGGUAAUGACAAAGGAGCCCUUAUCAUGAGUGGAAGGACUUUGAAUCAGGUCAUGUGAUGAAUUACAAUCAAAGAGUUUCACAGUGCACCUUCACAGAAAGUUAAACAAAAAAAAAAAAAGUUGGCUUGUCCACCCAACAUUCCAAAGUUGAUUUAAUUUUCCACAGUCCUGUCCCUCUGAUUGAGGAAUUUUAUUUUAUUUUUUUCCUCUUUGCUGGUGAAUGAAGUGGGCAUGUGUGUCAACGACAGGGUUCCCUAUUUAGCCUAACGCUGAUUACCUCAUUUACAAAUCUGCAAAUAUACUAUUCUACUGUGUGUAAAGGAGUCAAUGCCAUCACCAGCAGCGCGGUCUCGAGACCUGUGAUGACAACAGGACCAAUGAAGUUGAAAUUAGUCAAUUUUGAAAUAUGACCAGUCUGGGAAUAUAGGGUUAAGACACGAUUCAGACAUUAUUUUUUUUUUCUUCUUCUUCCUUUUCUUUUUUUUUUUGUAAAGAUGAAUGAGCCUAUUAAGAUUUCUUUAACUAGUACAUCACCACAGCUGCUACCCCAGUCAAUGCAGGAGCUGUCAGAAAGCUGCAGAUACUUUUAUUGUUUGUUUUUUAAAUAGCCAAGUCAAUAUUCAAAGUUAAAAUCAAACACUUGUUAAAACACAGCUCUUCAAACUCCAACUGGACUAGCAGCUGUUGGCACUAGCAUGGUUCAGGAAGCCUGGUGUAUCACAAUUGUUUAAGUGAACGAUCACAUUAGCUUCACUUGCUGUUUUUUCAGUAGCAUUUCUCCUACCUCCUUGUUUUGCAGCCUUGAGUAUUGUUAGUCUCUCCACCUGUUCUGACUUAAAAAAAAAAAAAAAAAAAAAAAAAGUUUAUUCACAGUACGGGAAUACAGAUUUAUCAUAAGCAAUGGUAGUUAUACAUAAAGUGUGCUUGGUUGUGCUGUAUGUGUACUUGUCUAUUUGACGUUGGAAAAAAAAAAUAUUUAUGAGAAGCAUUUAUACGACAAAAUACCACUGGAAUGUGAAGCCAGACAACGUUAUGAUGCAGAUUAUGAUGAUAGUCUAUCCCCUUUAACAUUCAGUGGCGAAUGGUCAGAGGAAUCAUCUUUUUAAGAAAAUGAAUAACCAUUGGCUUUAUAUUUUAACAGCAUUUAUUUCUUUGGUUUCCUCUUAUGCAUAUACUUCCCCCAUCUAGCCCUAUGGUAUACAAUAUUUCAACGUUUACAGCUUCCUUCUGGGUCAGCCAUUGAUUUUUAUUUUUUUUUAUUUUUUCUCCCCCCUACAGUUGUAAUGAUAUCACAGUUUGUCACAGGGAUGAUAGUAAGGUGUAUUUGUAAAUGUGGAUGAGUUUGAGCCCCUCGAGCCGUAUGCCUUUGAAUCCAUCUGUCCACUCUGUACCAAAUUCUGCUACACAGGCGUCUUGUUUCCGCACUGCCCCAACAUUUUACAUCCAGUUUUGAGUACAAAGGGGUACGGGACAAAGGUGAAAGGUUUGAGGUUUUUCAGACCAGGCCCCGCCAUCCCACCACCCUCACAACCACCCAACAGCUCACCCAUGCCUACUCUAAGACAGGACCAGCCCAACUCCCCCACCCCUCCCCUCCCCUCUCACCCACUGUCUCACCUUUAACCUCAAGCCAUUCAUUUUUCUGUUUUUGUUUUAUUUUAAUUUUUUUCGACAAUGCAAUCCUGAAAGCACUUUGCCUUGUUAUUCCUUUGUGUGAACAUGUGAAUGAUAAUUUGUUACAGAAAUGUUAAAUAUGUAAAAGAUCAUUCACUGUUUUGGAAAAACCUGCAUCUGUCUUUCUGACGUUAAAAGGAAAAAAAAAAACAAUUUAGUGACAUUAAACCUGAAUCUAUUUUAUAAAAUGUUUGCUGCAGCCAAUUGGUCUUGUCAUUCAGUAUUGUGGCUUAGGGUUGUUUGUGUUCAAUAAAGUGCUAUUGCUAAAUAUUU